CUACGGGAUGCUGCAGUGGGGAAUAUUGGACAAUGGGGGAAACCCUGAUCCAGCAAUGCCGCGUGUGUGAAGAAGGCCUGCGGGUUGUAAAGCACUUUCGGUUGGGAGGACUGCUUCUAGCACUAAUAUUGUUGGAAGUUGACGUUACCUUCAGAAGAAGCACCGGCUAACUCCGCGCCAGCAGCCGCGGUAAUACGGAGGGUGCAAGCGUUAAUCGGAAUUACUGGGCGUAAAGCGCGCGUAGGCGGCUAGAUCAGUCGGGUGUGAAAGCCCCGGGCUUAACCUGGGAACUGCAUCCGAUACUGUCUAGCUUGAGUACAGGAGAGGAGAGUGGAAUUCCACAUGUAGCGGUGAAAUGCGUAGAUAUGUGGAGGAACACCAAUGGCGAAGGCAGCUCUCUGGCCUGAUACUGACGCUGAGGCGCGAAAGCGUGGGGAGCAAACAGGAUUAGAUACCCCAGUAGUC
Molecule: ribosomal RNA, 465 nt
Filed under: uncultured bacterium
Lineage: Bacteria
Description: partial 16S ribosomal RNA
Rfam family: Bacterial small subunit ribosomal RNA
Source: RNAcentral